RNAcentral lists this long non-coding RNA (643 nucleotides) under Citrus x clementina. RNAcentral's name for it is "Citrus clementina (C. clementina) long non-coding RNA (CCLE_LNC004624)". Lineage: Eukaryota; Viridiplantae; Streptophyta; Magnoliopsida; Sapindales; Rutaceae. The record is from RNAcentral.
UCAAUUAAAUUUCAGCCUUUAAUAACCAAGUCUUACCUGUUUACGGGGUAAAUCAAUGAAUAUAGUUGUGGUCACCAGACUUCGAGCAAAGCAGGUGGUGGAUGGGAUCCACAAGGACCACAAGGACUGUCUUGAGUGACAUGCUGGUUUGAGGUAACCGAUAACUAUAAUGGGGGUCUAUUUGGGAAAACAAAUGGACAUUUUGAUCUUGAUCCACUGGCCUAGAUCAUGAUUUACUAAACCGUUUAACGUUUAACGAACGUCGUUCGGUAAAGCAAGGCACGCUGCAGUAUUUCGACAGAGACGUUAUACAUUGUUUGGGGUUAACGGCGAUGAGAUCGUGGCACGUGUUCUGACAUAUGGAUACGGAGUUCGCAGCCGUGGGGUCACUCGAGUGAAACACCAAAGGACGAAUCAUCCUUCAAUACAAAAUUUUGAAAAUCCUUACUAGUGAACUUUGUUUUGUUGCCCCAGUCCGUUCUUUUUUACCCUUUUAUCUUUGCUAAUUUUACACUGUUACCUUUUUGGGUAAAGUAUAGCGUACUCUUCAAGAUAAGAAUUACGCAGGGGAAGGGCAUUGAAGUAAAGUCCAGGGACUUCAAAUGGCAAGGGGAGAAAAGUGAUUCCCUGAAUUUAAGUAAAA